AGAAUCAACGCUGGCGGCGUGCCUAACACAUGCAAGUCGCACGAGAAAGGGUAGCAAUACCUGAGUACAGUGGCGCACGGGUGAGUAACACGUGAAUAAUCUACCUCCGAGUGGGGAAUAACUGAGAGAAAUCUUAGCUAAUACCGCAUAACACUUACGAGUCAAAGCAGCAAUGCGCUUGGAGAGGAGUUCGCGGCAGAUUAGUUAGUUGGCGGGUAAUGGCCCACCAAGACGAUGAUCUGUA
This 244-nucleotide ribosomal RNA is filed under the name uncultured bacterium. Its description in RNAcentral is "partial small subunit ribosomal RNA". It matches the Rfam family "Bacterial small subunit ribosomal RNA", at positions 26 to 285 of the family's 1533-position model. The record is from RNAcentral.